GAAAUGCGAUAAGUAGUGUGAAUUGCAGAAUUCAGUGAAUCAUCGAAUCUUUGAACGCACAUUGCGCCCUUUGGUAUUCCUUAGGGCAUGCCUGUUCGAGCGUCAUCUAAACCUUCAAGCCCUGCUUGGUGUUGGGUGCCUGUCCCGCCUCCGCGCGCGGACUCACCUCAAAUCCAUUGGCGGCCCCCGCGUCGGCCACGAGCGCAGCAGAAACGCGAACUCGUGAGCCCGUCCGGGCGGCUCCCAGAAGUUACACCCACCCAGUUUGACCUCGGAUCAGGUAGGGAUACCCGCUGAACUUAAGC
RNAcentral lists this unclassified non-coding RNA (305 nucleotides) under plant metagenome. Its description in RNAcentral is "partial contains 5.8S ribosomal RNA, internal transcribed spacer 2, and large subunit ribosomal RNA". The stretch from base 1 to 105 matches the Rfam family "5.8S ribosomal RNA", at positions 50 to 154 of the family's 154-position model. The record is from RNAcentral.